RNAcentral lists this ribosomal RNA (1638 nucleotides) under Salmonella enterica. RNAcentral's name for it is "partial 23S ribosomal RNA". It matches the Rfam family "Bacterial large subunit ribosomal RNA", at positions 1181 to 2802 of the family's 2925-position model. The record is from RNAcentral. Lineage: Bacteria; Pseudomonadati; Pseudomonadota; Gammaproteobacteria; Enterobacterales; Enterobacteriaceae. RNAcentral also lists the same sequence under 1 other name.
CUAAACCAUGCACCGAAGCUGCGGCAGCGACACUGUGUGUUGUUGGGUAGGGGAGCGUUCUGUAAGCCUGUGAAGGUGUGUCGUGAGGCAUGCUGGAGGUAUCAGAAGUGCGAAUGCUGACAUAAGUAACGAUAAAGCGGGUGAAAAGCCCGCUCGCCGGAAGACCAAGGGUUCCUGUCCAACGUUAAUCGGGGCAGGGUGAGUCGACCCCUAAGGCGAGGCCGAAAGGCGUAGUCGAUGGGAAACGGGUUAAUAUUCCCGUACUUGGUGUUACUGCGAAGGGGGGACGGAGAAGGCUAUGUUGGCCGGGCGACGGUUGUCCCGGUUUAAGCGUGUAGGUGUGUGUUCCAGGUAAAUCCGGUUCACUUUAACACUGAGGCGUGACGACGAGGCACUACGGUGCUGAAGCAACAAAUGCCCUGCUUCCAGGAAAAGCCUCUAAGCAUCAGGUAACAUCAAAUCGUACCCCAAACCGACACAGGUGGUCAGGUAGAGAAUACCAAGGCGCUUGAGAGAACUCGGGUGAAGGAACUAGGCAAAAUGGUGCCGUAACUUCGGGAGAAGGCACGCUGACACGUAGGUGAAGUGAUUUACUCAUGGAGCUGAAGUCAGUCGAAGAUACCAGCUGGCUGCAACUGUUUAUUAAAAACACAGCACUGUGCAAACACGAAAGUGGACGUAUACGGUGUGACGCCUGCCCGGUGCCGGAAGGUUAAUUGAUGGGGUCAGCGCAAGCGAAGCUCCUGAUCGAAGCCCCGGUAAACGGCGGCCGUAACUAUAACGGUCCUAAGGUAGCGAAAUUCCUUGUCGGGUAAGUUCCGACCUGCACGAAUGGCGUAAUGAUGGCCAGGCUGUCUCCACCCGAGACUCAGUGAAAUUGAACUCGCUGUGAAGAUGCAGUGUACCCGCGGCAAGACGGAAAGACCCCGUGAACCUUUACUAUAGCUUGACACUGAACAUUGAGCCUUGAUGUGUAGGAUAGGUGGGAGGCUUUGAAGUGUGGACGCCAGUCUGCAUGGAGCCGACCUUGAAAUACCACCCUUUAAUGUUUGAUGUUCUAACGUGGACCCGUUACCCGGGUUGCGGACAGUGUCUGGUGGGUAGUUUGACUGGGGCGGUCUCCUCCUAAAGAGUAACGGAGGAGCACGAAGGUUGGCUAAUCCUGGUCGGACAUCAGGAGGUUAGUGCAAUGGCAUAAGCCAGCUUGACUGCGAGCGUGACGGCGCGAGCAGGUGCGAAAGCAGGUCAUAGUGAUCCGGUGGUUCUGAAUGGAAGGGCCAUCGCUCAACGGAUAAAAGGUACUCCGGGGAUAACAGGCUGAUACCGCCCAAGAGUUCAUAUCGACGGCGGUGUUUGGCACCUCGAUGUCGGCUCAUCACAUCCUGGGGCUGAAGUAGGUCCCAAGGGUAUGGCUGUUCGCCAUUUAAAGUGGUACGCGAGCUGGGUUUAGAACGUCGUGAGACAGUUCGGUCCCUAUCUGCCGUGGGCGCUGGAGAACUGAGGGGGGCUGCUCCUAGUACGAGAGGACCGGAGUGGACGCAUCACUGGUGUUCGGGUUGUCAUGCCAAUGGCACUGCCCGGUAGCUAAAUGCGGAAGAGAUAAGUGCUGAAAGCAUCUAAGCACGAAACUUGCCCCGA